CCUACGGGCGGCAGCAGUGGGGAAUAUUGGACAAUGGGCGAAAGCCUGAUCCAGCCAUGCCGCGUGUGUGAAGAAGGCCUUCGGGUUGUAAAGCACUUUCAGUGGGGAAGAAAGCCUUGGGGCUAAUACCCUCGAGGAAGGACAUCACCCACAGAAGAAGCACCGGCUAACUCCGUGCCAGCAGCCGCGGUAAUACGGAGGGUGCGAGCGUUAAUCGGAAUUACUGGGCGUAAAGCGCGCGUAGGCGGUCUGAUAAGCCGGUUGUGAAAGCCCCGGGCUCAACCUGGGAACGGCAUCCGGAACUGUCAGGCUAGAGUGCAGGAGAGGAAGGUAGAAUUCCCGGUGGAGCGGUGAAAUGCGUAGAGAUCGGGAGGAAUACCAGUGGCGAAGGCGGCCUUCUGGACUGACACUGACGCUGAGGUGCGAAAGCGUGGGUAGCAAACAGGAUUAGAUACCCGAAGUAGUC
RNAcentral lists this ribosomal RNA (466 nucleotides) under Vreelandella stevensii. Its description in RNAcentral is "partial 16S ribosomal RNA". It matches the Rfam family "Bacterial small subunit ribosomal RNA", at positions 338 to 795 of the family's 1533-position model. Lineage: Bacteria; Pseudomonadati; Pseudomonadota; Gammaproteobacteria; Oceanospirillales; Halomonadaceae. The record is from RNAcentral.